UACGGAGGGGACUAGCGUUGUUCGGCAUUACUGGGCGUAAAGCGCACGUAGGCGGAUUUGUAAGUCAGGGGUGAAAUCCCGGGGCUCAACCUCGGAACUGCCUUUGAUACUGCAAAUCUCGAGUCCGGAAGAGGUGAGUGGAAUUCCUAGUGUAGAGGUGAAAUUCGUAGAUAUUCGGAGGAACACCAGUGGCGAAGGCGGCUCACUGGUCCGGUACUGACGCUGAGGUGCGAAAGCGUGGGGAGCAAACAGG
RNAcentral lists this ribosomal RNA (253 nucleotides) under uncultured bacterium. RNAcentral describes it as "partial 16S ribosomal RNA". It matches the Rfam family "Bacterial small subunit ribosomal RNA", at positions 524 to 776 of the family's 1533-position model. The record is from RNAcentral.